CCCCUAGAUGUUCUGGGCCGCACGCGCGCUACACUGAACAGUUCAACAAGUCUUAACCUUGGCCGAUAGGUCUGGGUAAUCUUUGAACGCUGUUCGUGAUUGGGAUAGACCUUUGCAAUUAUGGGUCUUCAACGAGGAAUUCCUAGUAAACGCAAGUCAUCAGCUUGCAUUGAUUACGUCCCUGCCCUUUGUACACACCGCCCGUCGCACCUACCGAUUGAAUGGUCCGGUGAAAUCUCGGGACGGCUGAUUAACCGCUUGCGGUUGACGGCUGAAACUUGAUUAAACCAUAUCAUUUAGAGGAAGGUGAAGUCGUAACA
Molecule: ribosomal RNA, 320 nt
Filed under: uncultured eukaryote
Lineage: Eukaryota
Description: partial 18S ribosomal RNA
Rfam family: Eukaryotic small subunit ribosomal RNA
Source: RNAcentral